GACGAACGCUGGCGGCGUGCUUAACACAUGCAAGUCGAACGGUAAGGCCCUUCGGGGUACACGAGUGGCGAACGGGUGAGUAACACGUGGGUGAUCUGCCCUGCACUUCGGGAUAAGCCUGGGAAACUGGGUCUAAUACCGGAUAGGACCACUGCCUGCAUGGGUGGUGGUGGAAAGCUUUUGCGGUGUGGGAUGGGCCCGCGGCCUAUCAGCUUGUUGGUGGGGUGAUGGCCUACCAAGGCGACGACGGGUAGCCGGCCUGAGAGGGUGACCGGCCACACUGGGACUGAGAUACGGCUCAGACUCCUACGGGAGGCAGCAGUGGGGAAUAUUGCACAAUGGGCGCAAGCCUGAUGCAGCGACGCCGCGUGAGGGAUGACGGCCUUCGGGUUGUAAACCUCUUUCAGCACCGACGAAGCGCAAGUGACGGUAGGUGCAGAAGAAGGUCCGGCCAACUACGUGCCAGCAGCCGCCGCAG
This 478-nucleotide ribosomal RNA is filed under the name uncultured bacterium. RNAcentral's name for it is "partial 16S ribosomal RNA". It matches the Rfam family "Bacterial small subunit ribosomal RNA", at positions 28 to 523 of the family's 1533-position model. The record is from RNAcentral.